GAUGAACGCUGGCGGCGUGCCUAAUACAUGCAAGUCGAGCGAACGGACGAGAAGCUUGCUUCUCUGAUGUUAGCGGCGGACGGGUGAGUAACACGUGGAUAACCUACCUAUAAGACUGGGAUAACUUCGGGAAACCGGAGCUAAUACCGGAUAAUAUUUUGAACCGCAUGGUUCAAAAGUGAAAGACGGUCUUGCUGUCACUUAUAGAUGGAUCCGCGCUGCAUUAGCUAGUUGGUAAGGUAACGGCUUACCAAGGCAACGAUGCAUAGCCGACCUGAGAGGGUGCACGGCCCACCUGGAACUGAGAACCCGUCCAGGCUCCCACGGGAGGCAGCAGGUGGGAAGCCUCCGGAAAGGGGGAAAGCCUGACGGAGCCACCGCGGGGGGAGUAAGAAGGUUUUUGGGUCGUAAAACUCCUUUAUUAGGGAAAAACAAAUUGGGAAGUAACUUUGCCCCUCUUGACGGUACCUAAACAGAAAGCCCCGGCUAACUACGG
This 496-nucleotide ribosomal RNA is filed under the name uncultured bacterium. RNAcentral's name for it is "partial 16S ribosomal RNA". It matches the Rfam family "Bacterial small subunit ribosomal RNA", at positions 28 to 506 of the family's 1533-position model. The record is from RNAcentral.